AUUGAACGCUGGCGGCAUGCCUUACACAUGCAAGUCGAACGGCAGCACGGGACUCGGGCAACCGAGCCCUGGUGGCGAGUGGCGAACGGGUGAGUAAUGCAUCGGAACGUACCCAGUAGUGGGGGAUAACUAGUCGAAAGAUUAGCUAAUACCGCAUACGACCUAUGGGUGAAAGCGGGGGAUUCGCAAGAACCUCGCGCUAUCGGAGCGGCCGAUGUCUGAUAGCUAGUUGGCGGGGUAAAAGCCCACCAAGGCUUCGAUCAGUAGCUGGUCUGAGAGGACGACCAGCCACACUGGGACUGAGACACGGCCCAGACUCCUACGGGAGGCAGCAGUGGGGAAUUUUGGACAAUGGGCGCAAGCCUGAUCCAGCCAUGCCGCGUGCGGGAAGAAGGCC
This 397-nucleotide ribosomal RNA is filed under the name uncultured bacterium. RNAcentral describes it as "bacterial SSU rRNA". It matches the Rfam family "Bacterial small subunit ribosomal RNA", at positions 29 to 416 of the family's 1533-position model. The record is from RNAcentral.